GACGAACGCUGGCGGCGUGCUUAACACAUGCAAGUCGAACGGAAAGGCCCCCUUGUGGGGUACUCGAGUGGCGAACGGGUGCGUAACACGUGAGUAACCUACCCUUGACUUUGGGAUAACUUCAGGAAACUGGGGCUAAUACCGGAUAGGAGCUCCUGCUGCAUGGUGGGGGUUGGAAAGUUUCGGCGGUUGGGGAUGGACUCGCGGCUUAUCAGCUUGUUGGUGGGGUAGUGGCUCACCAAGGCUUUGACGGGUAGCCGGCCUGAGAGGGUGACCGGCCACAUUGGGACUGAGAUACGGCCCAGACUCCGGGAGGCAGCAGUGGGGAAUAUUGCACAAUGGGCGGAAGCCUGAUGCAGCAACGCCGCGUGCGGGAUGACGGCCUUCGGGUUGUAAACCGCUUUCGCCUGUGACGAAGCGUGAGUGACGGUAAUGGGUAAAGAAGCACCGGCUAACUACGUG
This 462-nucleotide ribosomal RNA is filed under the name uncultured bacterium. Its description in RNAcentral is "partial 16S ribosomal RNA". It matches the Rfam family "Bacterial small subunit ribosomal RNA", at positions 28 to 507 of the family's 1533-position model. The record is from RNAcentral.